UUUUUUUUUUUUUUUUUUUUUUUUUGGAGAGGGGUGAUAAAAAUGUUCUAAACUUAGACCAUGUUGACAGUUACGGAAGUCUGUGAAUAUACUAAAACCAUGGAGCUGUAUAUAUGAAAGGGGUGAACUGUUUGGUGUUUGAAUUAAAUCUCAGUAAGAAUGUUUAAGAAGGAACAAAUGACAAAAAAUCCAGUAGAAAAUUAUAUGAACGAUGUUCAAAUUCACUCAGAGAAAUGAAGAUUAAGCAACACUGAGAUACUGUUCUCAUCCAUCACAUUAGCAAAAAGUAAAACGUAUGAUCAUUUGGGCUGUGGGGAAACAGACAUUUUCACACAUUGCUGGUGGGAAUGCAAACUGCAAAGAGAAUUAGGCCAUAGCCUAACAAAACUUCCUGUGCAGUCUGAGCAACAACACCACUUUGGGAAUACCUCCUGCAGAUACACUUCCAACAAUGUGAGACUAUAUAUAUAUGCACGAGGUUACUCACUGCAGCAUUGCUGGUAAUUACAAAUCUAAAAGCUUAUUCAAAAGGGAGUGAUUGGAUAAGUUGUGGCUCAUCUAGAAAAUGGAAUACUAAGCAGCUCUAUAAAAAUAUGAGGAAGCUCUCUUUAAAAAUUCAUAUAAUUUCCAUGAUAUACUGUUAAGUGAAAAAAUGCAAAGGAGCUUCUUAAGUAUGUUAUCCUACAUGUGAGAAAGAAGGGAUAUAAGGAAAAUAUACAUGUUCUUUCACGAAAAGCAUGAGAAGGAUAAACUAAAAACUAAAGAGCUAGAUUACUGUUACGAGUUGAAUUGUGGUCCCUCCCACUACUAAACCCCACUCCUGAAAAGAUAUGUUGAAGUCCUAUGCCUUAGUACCUCAGAAUGUGAUCGUUCUUGGAAACAGGGUCAUUGCUGAUAUAAAUAGUUAAGAUGAGGUCCUGCUGGAGCAGGGUGGGCCCCUAAUCCAGUAUGAGUGGUGUCUUUAUAAGAUAAUGACCAUGUGAAGAGAGAAACAAAAGGAAAACACCAUGUGAAGAUGAAGGCAUUGAUGAAAGGUGAUGCUUCUAUGAGCUGAGGACCCUCAGAGACUGCAGCAAACCACCAGAAGCUAGGAAGCAGCAAGAAAUAUCCAGAGGGAGCUUGGCCCUGAUUUCUGGACUUGGAGCCUCCAGAACUGGAAAGAUAACUUUGUAUCCUAACUUGGUUCCUAGCACAUUGCAUGGAAGCCCUAGGAAAUACAGUUUCUUACAGGGUGUAGGUGGGAAACGGGUUGAAAGAAGGGAAGAACUGGAUUAGGGUCACAGGGAUGAGGAGCGAGCACACUUCUCUGAAUAGAAUUUUUUGUGAAGCUCUGACCCAGAACCACAGUAAUGUUUCCCAUACCACCCCCAAAAUAAACAUUUAAAAUCAACCAGGAUGUGGGGGAACACAGUGUGGCACACAGACAAUAAAACAUGAACCUGACCAAAGUGAAAAUAAUAUACCUACAUUGAGAAGAGCAAGGAAGAAAAGAAAGAACCUACAUGACUUUGCAGAACAACAUUUUGGUUGGAUACUGUAAGGUUAAAGAUGAUCUCUUUACAAAUUUUGUACUCCAGUUCCUAAGCUUGUUUCUCAAAGUGCUGUGGGUUAGUAAUUCUGAAAUGACUCAAGGUAUAUAUCACUAUCGAACAAAUAAAUAAAUACACUGUAGGUAUUGAAAGCUACAUUUCUCAAGGUGAGAAGGAAGAUAAAAAAAAAAGGAGAAGGCUAGAAGAGGCUCUACAGUGAUGGGGUUAAAUUUGGAAGAAUUCUCAUGAAUCAUGGUUUAUAAUAUAUAGAAAGAUAGAUGGAUCCAUCCUUCUCCAGUGAAAGGAACCAGGGCUUCUAAGAGAAAUAGUUGAAUCCAGGCUUGGGGCAGGGAAGAUAAAAGAUGAGCCUGGAACAUCUUGCAGUUCCAGAAAAUAAGUUCUCAAAACCUGAUAAAGGGACAUCAGAAGAACCCAGGAGCCAACCUGAAGGAGCUCCCAACAAUGAGAAUGGAACAAACUGAGCAAGAAAAUGAUAGUAUUGAAUUAUAACCCAUAGCAUAAAAUCAAUAUCCAUGAGUCUGUACUGAUAAAAAUAAAUAACAAUGGAAGAGAGGGAGAGUUCUUCCUUACAAAAGCAUUCCAAUGAAUUAAUGUGGGAAAAACUGAGAGAAAUCAAAAAUCAUGUUUGGGCAAACAUCACAGCAAUAAUUGUUGCAAGCAAGACUCACACUAAUGGAUGCUAAAAUUUAAAGAGAAAUGGAAUGUUUGCAUAGUCUUAAAAGUAUCUCCUUGGAGAGAGUAAUUACCAAGGGGUAAAUAGUGACUUUGGAGAAGCCCUGCAGACACCACCUUAACCAGGGGAUCAAGGCUAACAUCACCUAUAAUAAGUCAUGUUGACAGCACGUACCCUUGAUACAAGGCAGUGGGAAGGGCGCAGGAUCACUUACCAUCUUCUUGCCAAAUGCGUAACUUCAAUCUAAUACUAAUGAGAAAACACCAGACAAACCCCAUCUGAAACACUCUACAAAAUAACUCUUUAAAAGAGUCAAAAUCAUUAAAGACCAGGCAAGACUGAGGAAGUGUCAUAGAUUGUGAGUGCAGGACUAAUAAAUCAAUAAUGGGAUCCUAGGACAGAAAAAGGGCCAAAGUGGAAAAACUGGUGAAAUGAAGAUAGGGUCUAUAUUUUAAUUAAUAGUAUUGUGACAAGGUUAAUUUGCUAGUUUUGGUCAUGUGCCAUGGUUAUGUAAAAUGGUAACAUGAGGCUGGAUUAAAAGUAUAUGGGAAAUACUGAUACUAUUUUUUUACAACUUUGUGUUAUAUUAUUUCAAAAUAGGAAGUAAUGUAGCUUGCAGUGUUUAUUCCCAGUUCUACCCCAAAAGUUUUAGUUAUUUCCUACCAUAUGUGUAACCAAUGUUUCUUUUUCUAUUUCUUGAUUUAUCAAUGCCAAUAGAUGAUAUGAAUCAUUUAUUCUGUCUCCUACUAUCAUAAAUGCCCAAUAGUUUUAUAUUCCAAUUUUCAAUUUCUCUGUGGACCCAUUGCUAUGAUCUGCAUGUCUAUGCCCCCAAAACUCACAUGAAAGCCUAACCAAAGGUGAAGGUACUGGUAGGUAGGGCCUUUGGAGUGAUUAGGUCAUGAGGGUGAAAACCCCAUGAAUGGAAUUUGCUCUUAUGAAGAUAAUCCCACAGAGAUUCCCUAGCCCUUUCUAUUAUGUGGAGAAAGUCUGAAAUUAAAAGAGGGCUCUCACCAGACCAGGGUGACACCCUGACGUCAGACUUCCAGCCUCCAGAACUGUGAGCAGUAAAUUUCUGCUGUAUAUGACCCACUCCACCUGUGGGAUUCUGUUAUCACAGCCAGACAGACUAGGCCAGUCAUAUUUACAACAUUAAAUAAAAGCAAUACCUUUAUCUCUUUCAUCUUCUAGAGACAACACUUCUCAGUUUCCUAUCAACACCCCUAUUUUUUCUUCCACCAGUCUUCCGCUCCUUCCUAACUCAGUUCAUCUAACUUUUAGUUUUGUAUUUUGAAGAUUCCUAAUGGUUAUAUUGUGUUUUCAAACCAUUAAUUUAGACUUCCUUGAACUGCCUAUUGGUUAAGUCCAAGAGCUGAAAACCAGGGAGCAACAAUUAUCUUACUAUGACAAGGUAAAUAGGUUCCCUGCUGGGAUUUCUGGCUUCCUGCUCAGGUUGGCAGUGCUUGCUCCAGAAAUCUCUGGGAUACCUUGAAUCUUCUCCUAGAUUGGCUCCAGUAUUUCCUCAGUCUUAUUUUUACCUCAGUUUACGCCUUCCUUUUUUGAGAGUAUGCCUUAUAGUAAAUUCCUAAGAAAGAGAUUCCAUGAAAUAAACUGCUUGAGUCCCAUGCCUGAAAACCUCUUGGCUUUACCCUCUUGUUCAAAUGAUAGCUUUGCUGGCUAUAUAAAAGUUCAUCUUUUCCCCUCAGAAUUUUAAGGUCCUUGGCUUACUGUCUUGCAUUUACUGUUGAUAUUGUCAUUUUGAUUCUUGUUCUGUUGAUGUUCUGUUUAUUCUCCCUUGAAGCAUUUAGAAUCCUCUUCAUUCUCAGUGCUGUGAACUUUCAUACUAUAUCUAGAUAUUAAUCUAUUUUAUAGAAUAUUUCUUAUUAAUCUAUUUUAUAGAGUAAUCUGUUUUUAUAGAGUAUUAUACCAGGUAUUCAGUGCAUCACUUUAAUUAGUGACAUUCAUUUACAUUGGAACAUCAUUCAGGUUUAGAUGCCUUUGUUAUAUUCUUCCUUUCAUAAUUUCCUUCCCUCUGUGUUCUUGGUUUGUUCUUUCGGAAACUCAGCAGACAGAGUUUGGACCUCCUCCUGAAUUGGUUGUCUUUUUCUCUCAUUUUUUAGUGCCUUUGUAGGGUUUUUUUUCCCCCAUCUUACUGUUCUUGUGUCUUAUUUUUGUGUCUUUGUGUGUUGACUUUAUUUUACUUUCUGGGAGGGUUCUUUUUAUUUCUAAUAUCUCUCUUGAAUAUUUAUUUCCACAAUCAUGUUUUUACUUCCAGGACCUCUUUCUUACUUUUUUCCUUUUAAACUAGCAUUCUGGUCUUGCUGUAAAAGUGUGAUGUCGUCUCACAUUUUUCUGAGGAUAUUAUUUACAGAUUUUUUUUUUUUUGACGUUCUCUUCUGCUCCCCGAAUUACCUUUGUUUCCUCUGGAACCAGUUUUUCUAUUUGUUUGACUCUUCUAUUCAUGUUGUAAUUUGAACCAACUGUCUAGUGCUCCUUCGAUUUCUGUUCCCAUUUAAGAAUGAGGGAUUAAGAAAUUGUGCGAAUGAGAGAGGCCUGUCAACCAGCAGGUGAGUGAGCAGGAAACCAGCUGUCCACUGGGCAGUCCCUAAAUGCUAAAUCCAGACAGUUUUAGAGCUGAUCAACUUCAUUAGGAGAGAACUUCUCAUUUUAAAAUUUUUAAAGUUUUUAUUACAAGGGAGGAGAUUCUAGCUUCCAAGAGUUGUGUGUAUGAGAGAGGGGAAAGAGGGUGGGAAUCAGCUGGACUGAUCACCUACCUCCUUGCAUGGGUUGACACAGAACAAGUCUCCUGGGUUCCAGCCUUGGUCUCCCUCCUGGGGAACCUUGUGUGCGUGACCCUAGCAUCACAGGGCCAGGGCUUCCUCCAACUGUAGGUCCCUCUAGGACAUCAGCCGGAGUCUUGUGGGUCAGCUGGUAAUGGCAGCCGCAGAGAUGUGUGGCCAUAAGCCUGUGGAGCAGGGCAGGCUCUAUAAAUAGCAGCGGUGAUUACAGAGUAACACUGCUUUUAAAUGCUUGGACUUUACAGCUUUCCAUUCAAAACAGACCUGGCCCAUGUUUAGUCUCUCUGGGGGGCAGCUGUAAAGGCCACCUUGUUUCACAGCUAAGGAGAGGUUACAAGGCAAUUAAAAUAUUUUUGUCUCUUCUCUCUUUUGAUGAUUAUUCCCAUGCGGUGGCAGCCACUAGAGUAGUUCCUGCCUCCAUUACCCACAGGGGAACUCGAAAACACAGUGGCAGCCACAAGCCCUGAAGCUGGCCUAGUGUGAGCGUUUCAACCUGAAACUUUCCUUUCCUUGGUUUUCAGAGAGAAGGAAAAUCAGGAAGAGUGGCAUCUCUAAUUGCCAUAGCCAGGCAACUCCCACUUCCUUUGAAGGACUCUUUUUCCUCUUUAGAAAUAAGAUUAGAUCCUUUAGGAAUGGCUUAAAUACUUCUUGUGCCAAAGUAAUUAGAUGUUUUAAACUCUUGUGUAGUCUUCCAUCAGAUAAAUGUAAUAAUUGUACAUUUAUAACCACUGGUGUACAUUCUAAUCACAUGCUUAUACUUAGGUAAAGACAACGUGCUGCAUCCAAAAGCUCUGAAUUUUAACACAUAAUAGUAAGUAUCCUGGUCAUAAAAAUCACCAGCAUAUGGAAGGAGUAGCUAUCAUAAUCUUAAAAUUGAUCCUGACAUAGACAGCCUCUUCAGUGUUCCAAAGUCCUCAUUCUGCCAAAUUCCUCAGAGCAUCCACACAGGGCAGGUUAGGCAAGUAUCAUUACCGCCACCCCACCCCCUCUCCCACACAGAUGAGCACACAGAGGCCUAGAGACGUUCUGGCACAGUUAGUAACCAGCACUGUAUUGGGCUCAUCAGACGUCAAACGCUCUGUGUGGUCCCUCCCCCUGGGGCUUAGUGGUCAGUGGACAGCAGCCCAGCUCACAUGCCUCCCAGUGCUCUCUGCACCAAGUGAUGGAGGCUGAUGUUUGGGGGUUCCUACAUUGGCCUGAGGAAUGGAUGCCAAGGGGGAGGAAGAGGAGAGAGGAUUUGGAAUAUUAAGGAUUCUCCAACUAGGCAGGAAGAGAUUCUGCAAAAACCCUUCUCUCUCCUUCUCUCCCCUCCAAAAGAGCAAUUAUUAAAAAUAUUUCUGGGAAGGAAAAUAUUAAAAUGCAAAGUAAAUGCAGUUGUGACUCAAAGUCAUGGAAGAAAAAUGCCAGCACUAUUUUCAGAGUCCAGUGUAGGUGCUUAGGACAUUGGUGAGGAGGCUAAUGGAGCUGACAUCAGAUAUGAAGACCACAGAGAUCAUUGGGUCCAGAUCCCUCAUUUUACAGAUGAGAACACUGAGGUGGAGGCUGUUAGUAAAUUGUCCUGAUGAUUGGGCAGAGCACUGGUAGAGUAGCCAGCAGAGAGCCAAGUACAAAGCAAGUACUUAUAUCAACUACGAAAGUGUUCAGUUGCAAGCAACAGAGAGCUGGCUUUAUGGGUUGGUUUUUCUCACAUGAGUCCAGAGAUAGGAGUGCUGGGCCUGGCUGUUCCUGGGCCUAAACAAGAAAAUAAACCUUGCUCCUCAGCAGCUUAUCCACCCAGAGGCAGAGUAGAGCUCUAGGGUCACAACCCUAGAAGGAAGGCCUUGUUAAGAAACCAUGAAAAAGGAGUUCCUGCUAUGACAGCACAGAAUCCGUGACAUCUCUCUGCAGCACCAGGAUGCAGGUUCAGUCUCUAGCCCUGCACAGUGGGUUAAAGGAUCUGAUGUUGCCCCAGCUGCAGCUCUGAUCUGAUCCAUGGCCCAGGAACUCCAUAGGUCGUGGGUUGGGAAAGAAAGACAGAAAGGAAAAAAAAGGAAGGGAGGGAGGGAUGGAGGAAAGGAAAGGAAAGGAAGAGAGACAUGAAAGAGAGAU
RNAcentral lists this long non-coding RNA (7106 nucleotides) under Sus scrofa (pig). RNAcentral describes it as "lncRNA (ENSSSCG00015079385.1)". Lineage: Eukaryota; Metazoa; Chordata; Mammalia; Artiodactyla; Suidae. The record is from RNAcentral.